UCGGUUCCUGUUUGAUGUAAAACUGUCCUGAAGGUCAUUGUAUAGUUGUAUGUGUAGUUGCUAGGCAACAGCCUGUUUAUGUACAUCUCCAGGGGUGCAUCACUUACAGACUGUAUGCUACCACAGCCAUGCAUUUCAGUGGAUUACAACUGUCUUUGAAGUGUUUCCUAACUGGUUGCCCUGCUAGCCUGUGUCAAAAGAGAAAAAAGAGCAUAGGUGCUUACUCACUGUGGGUCCAACAGGAAGUCCCUGUGGUUUCCAUAGAAACCACAGGGCACCUGCUACACCAACAAGUCGUCGGUAUUUAGGCUAAGGUUAGCCUCGUCCCCUCUUUCAUUAACACCACACUACACACACACACACACUUACACAAACACCAUAUCCCUGCUGAAGUGCUGCCAGUGCUUUGCCAGACCAGAAGCUGAACAAGGUGUGCCAGAGAAUGGGCUGCAACUCAAGCCGUGGGGCCCAGGCUGUGGACCCGGCCAAGAAGCCCGAGGAGAGGCCGAGCUCAGCCAACUCGAGCAAGGAGGACUCGACCCCGGACGACUCGGAGCCAACAGUAGUUGAAGCAGCCAAGGAAGAUGCUGGGGAGGAAUCUAGUUGACCGGACGUUAGCCAGUGGCCUGGGCUGGCCCACAGCCCACAGUUUCUAUGCAGGUUGCCCUGAGUGAUGUUGAUGUGGUGACACUGCGGAAGAAACAAGUGUGACUGGUCGUCUAUUGUCGGCUUCCUUUUCAGAAGGGUGCAGCAAAACCACCUCAACAAUGGGCAUUUAGCCAUUGGUUAAAAAUUAGACAGCCAGUAGGCCUGUGUAUAUUAUAAUUCCUUUAAUAUGUCACCACUGUAAGAAUCAUACUGUAGAAAUGUCCCAAAAACGUCUUCAGUGACAGCCAUGCAAUGUUAAGCCUUUUUCAGAAUAGUUACUUGAGUAAUGUACAGGUUCAUCUGUUUUUUAUAUAAGAAAUUAA
Molecule: long non-coding RNA, 971 nt
Organism: Alosa sapidissima (American shad)
Lineage: Eukaryota; Metazoa; Chordata; Actinopteri; Clupeiformes; Clupeidae
Exons: 4
Source: RefSeq, a predicted model, not a curated record